UCAAGAAACUUCCACAAUGGGCGAAAGCCUGAUGGAGCGACGUCGCGUGAUGGACGAAGUGCUUCGGCACGUAAACAUCUUUUAUGUGGGAUGAAAUUAUUGACAGUACCACAUGAAUAAGGGGCUCCUAACUCUGUGCCAGCAGGAGCGGUAAUACAGAGGCCCCAAGCGUUAUCCGGAAUCACUGGGCGUAAAGGGUGUCGAGGCGGUUGUAUUAGUCGUUCGUAAAAUCUACGAGCUUAACUUGUAGGCGGCGAACGAAACGGUACGACUUGAGGUUUGGAGAGGUGCGUGGAACUCACGGUGUAGGCGUGAAAUCCGUUGAUAUCGUGGGGAACACCAAAGGCGAAGGCAGCGCACUGGCCAAAAUCUGACGCUCACACACGAAAGCUAGGGUAGCGAAGAGGAUUAGAUACCCCCGUAGUCCCUGAGCGGGCUGGCAAGGCGCAU
RNAcentral lists this ribosomal RNA (450 nucleotides) under uncultured bacterium. RNAcentral describes it as "bacterial SSU rRNA". It matches the Rfam family "Bacterial small subunit ribosomal RNA", at positions 355 to 825 of the family's 1533-position model. The record is from RNAcentral.